UGUAGAUGGAGAAUAUGUAGUGACGAGAAUACAUGAACCAUUUUAAUAUAAUUUUUUUAUGAUAGGUCAUAUAAUGCUUGCAACAAACUAGAUGUCAGGUAUUAGCACAUUGACUUAUUUUGCACCAAUUUUUGUUAUCACCCUUUAUUGGUGAUAGCAUGCUUUUUUGGGUCUUCCUAGAAUGUUUGGUUAGAUGGCUUGUUCCUGAGAUGAUUUAGACUACUUCUAUAUAUUCUUUGACCUUUUUCCCUCCUACUGGAAAAGGUGGUAAGUCAAAUUUUUUAUAGGAUUUUGCUUGCUCGUCGCUGAUACAAGUUACCACAGAUGUUCCAUUGAUUCUAAGUAGUUCGUGCACAUCUGUUGUUGCAUCUGUUGAUACAUCAGCAACCAGAACUUUGUUUUUACUUGUUGGUCUUUGAUGAUCAUAUGGCUGCAAAAUUUCAAGCUAAUACAUGAUGAAAUCUUAAAAACAGACUGAUACAAGAAAACAUAAAAGCCUUGAUCAACACAUAAUUUUGCAGGCAUGCUUCAUUAAAUAUGUUUAUAUGUGUGCUCCUGAAUAAAGUGGAGAGUCUCAAAUGAAUUGCUGUUAAUACAGAAAGAAAAUAACAUCAGGACUGGAAAAGAGCACAAUGAUCUUUUUUUUUCAGUACAUG
Molecule: long non-coding RNA, 656 nt
Filed under: Phoenix dactylifera (date palm)
Lineage: Eukaryota; Viridiplantae; Streptophyta; Magnoliopsida; Arecales; Arecaceae
Description: long non-coding RNA (PDAC_LNC019901)
Source: RNAcentral